GGGGGCGACAUGGCUUCGACGUGGGUAGCGAAACCUUAAGUGCAUGCCGAGCACAGUACAGCUCGUAAAACCUACUGAAAAAAAGUAUUCGCAAAUGACGAAAACUACUCAAUGG
RNAcentral lists this transfer-messenger RNA (115 nucleotides) under Methylicorpusculum sp. RNAcentral describes it as "partial transfer-messenger RNA". It matches the Rfam family "transfer-messenger RNA", at positions 1 to 120 of the family's 374-position model. From Rfam's summary of the family: Bacterial tmRNA, also known as 10Sa RNA or SsrA, is named for its dual tRNA and mRNA-like properties. Its role is to liberate the mRNA from a stalled ribosome. The record is from RNAcentral. Lineage: Bacteria; Pseudomonadati; Pseudomonadota; Gammaproteobacteria; Methylococcales; Methylococcaceae.